UCCGGCUUAUCACCGGCGGUUUCCUUAGAGUGCCCAACUAAAUGGUAGCAACUAAGGACGGGGGUUGCGCUCGUUGCGGGACUUGACCCAACAUCUCACGACACGAGCUGACGACAGCCAUGCAGCACCUGUCUCCGGUCCAGCCGAACUGAAGAGCUCCAUCUCUGGAGCCCGCGACCGGGAUGUCAAGGGCUGGUAAGGUUCUGCGCGUUGCGUCGAAUUAAACCACAUGCUCCACCGCUUGUGCGGGCCCCCGUCAAUUCCUUUGAGUUUCAGUCUUGCGACCGUACUCCCCAGGCGGGGUACUUACUGCGUUAGCGACGGCACCGGGAGGGUCGCUCCCCCCGACGCCUAGUACCCAUCGUUUACGGCGUGGACUAC
Molecule: unclassified non-coding RNA, 381 nt
Filed under: uncultured bacterium
Lineage: Bacteria
Description: contains 16S-23S intergenic spacer region
Source: RNAcentral